RNAcentral lists this ribosomal RNA (578 nucleotides) under uncultured Nostoc sp. Its description in RNAcentral is "bacterial SSU rRNA". It matches the Rfam family "Bacterial small subunit ribosomal RNA", at positions 193 to 789 of the family's 1533-position model. The record is from RNAcentral. Lineage: Bacteria; Bacillati; Cyanobacteriota; Cyanophyceae; Nostocales; Nostocaceae.
GCCGAAAGGGAAAGAUUUAUUGCCUGAAGAUGAGCUCGCGUCUGAUUAGCUAGUUGGUGUGGUAAGAGCGCACCAAGGCGACGAUCAGUAGCUGGUCUGAGAGGAUGAUCAGCCACACUGGGACUGAGACACGGCCCAGACUCCUACGGGAGGCAGCAGUGGGGAAUUUUCCGCAAUGGGCGAAAGCCUGACGGAGCAAUACCGCGUGAGGGAGGAAGGCUCUUGGGUUGUAAACCUCUUUUCUCAGGGAAUAAGUUCUGAAGGUACCUGAGGAAUAAGCAUCGGCUAACUCCGUGCCAGCAGCCGCGGUAAUACGGAGGAUGCAAGCGUUAUCCGGAAUGAUUGGGCGUAAAGCGUCCGCAGGUGGCACUGUAAGUCUGCUGUUAAAGAGCAAGGCUCAACCUUGUAAAGGCAGUGGAAACUACAGAGCUAGAGUACGUUCGGGGCAGAGGGAAUUCCUGGUGUAGCGGUGAAAUGCGUAGAGAUCAGGAAGAACACCGGUGGCGAAAGCGCUCUGCUAGGCCGUAACUGACACUGAGGGACGAAAGCUAGGGGAGCGAAUGGGAUUAGAUACACCA